AGAUUGAACGCUGGCGGCGUGCCUAACACAUGCAAGUCGAGCGGUAACAGGUGUAGCAAUACAUGCUGACGAGCGGCGAACGGGUGAGUAAUGCUUCGGAAUCUGCCCAACAGUGGGGAACAACUAGCCGAAAGGUUAGCUAAUACCGCAUACGACCUACGGGUGAAAGCAGGGGAUCGCAAGACCUUGCGCUGAUGGAUGAGCCGAAGUCGGAUUAGCUAGUUGGUAGGGUAACGGCCUACCAAGGCGACAAUCCGUAGC
Molecule: ribosomal RNA, 261 nt
Filed under: uncultured bacterium
Lineage: Bacteria
Description: partial small subunit ribosomal RNA
Rfam family: Bacterial small subunit ribosomal RNA
Source: RNAcentral